RNAcentral lists this ribosomal RNA (252 nucleotides) under uncultured bacterium. RNAcentral describes it as "partial 16S ribosomal RNA". It matches the Rfam family "Bacterial small subunit ribosomal RNA", at positions 524 to 776 of the family's 1533-position model. The record is from RNAcentral.
UACGUAGGGUGCAAGCGUUGUCCGGAAUUAUUGGGCGUAAAGAGCUCGUAGGCGGACUGUCGCGUCUGCUGUGAAAACUCGGGCUUAACCCCGGGCCUGCAGUGGGUACGGGCAGACUAGAGUGCGGUAGGGGAGACUGGAAUUCCUGGUGUAGCGGUGAAAUGCGCAGAUAUCAGGAGGAACACCGGUGGCGAAGGCGGGUCUCUGGGCCGUAACUGACGCUGAGGAGCGAAAGCGUGGGGAGCGAACAGG